RNAcentral lists this ribosomal RNA (251 nucleotides) under uncultured Pseudomonadales bacterium. Its description in RNAcentral is "partial 16S ribosomal RNA". It matches the Rfam family "Bacterial small subunit ribosomal RNA", at positions 549 to 802 of the family's 1533-position model. Lineage: Bacteria; Pseudomonadati; Pseudomonadota; Gammaproteobacteria; Pseudomonadales. The record is from RNAcentral.
AAUUACUGGGCGUAAAGCGCGCGUAGGUGGUUCGUUAAGUUGGAUGUGAAAUCCCCGGGCUCAACCUGGGAACUGCAUUCAAAACUGACGAGCUAGAGUAUGGUAGAGGGUGGUGGAAUUUCCUGUGUAGCGGUGAAAUGCGUAGAUAUAGGAAGGAACACCAGUGGCGAAGGCGACCACCUGGACUGAUACUGACACUGAGGUGCGAAACGUGGGGAGCAAACAGGAUUAAUCCCUGGUAGUCAAGGGCG